GCGUCUAUAGCUCAGUUGGUUAGAGCGCUACCUUGACAUGGUAGAGGUCCCCAGUUCGAAUCUGGGUAGUCCUACCA
RNAcentral lists this transfer RNA (77 nucleotides) under Oceanospirillaceae bacterium. Its description in RNAcentral is "tRNA-Val". It matches the Rfam family "tRNA". Rfam says of the family: Transfer RNA (tRNA) molecules are approximately 80 nucleotides in length. Their secondary structure includes four short double-helical elements and three loops (D, anti-codon, and T loops). Lineage: Bacteria; Pseudomonadati; Pseudomonadota; Gammaproteobacteria; Oceanospirillales; Oceanospirillaceae. The record is from RNAcentral.